CACCUCUCAGAGUCACACCUGGAGAGUUUCUAGUGCUCCACCAGUCUCAACGACGGGAGAGAGAGUCAAGCAGAGACUUACCCAUUCCAUUCCUAGCUUGGGCAGUGGCUAGUGAGUGGAAGGCACUCUGCUACAAGU
This is a small nucleolar RNA of Tachyglossus aculeatus (Australian echidna), 138 nucleotides long. Lineage: Eukaryota; Metazoa; Chordata; Mammalia; Monotremata; Tachyglossidae. The record is from RefSeq and is a predicted model, not a curated record.